GGGCCUGUAGCUCAGCUGGGAGAGCGCGUCGUUCGCAAUGACGAGGUCGUCGGUUCGAUCCCGAUCAGGUCCACCA
Molecule: transfer RNA, 76 nt
Filed under: Alphaproteobacteria bacterium
Lineage: Bacteria; Pseudomonadati; Pseudomonadota; Alphaproteobacteria
Also listed under: 5 other names
Description: tRNA-Ala
Rfam family: tRNA
About the family: Transfer RNA (tRNA) molecules are approximately 80 nucleotides in length.
Source: RNAcentral